GUUUCAUGAUAGCAUCUUGAAGCAUGCCUUCUCAGUAAAGCAGAAAUACUUUGGCAUCACAAGUCUCUAGCUAUCAUGAUGGAGGAAACUAUCGUAAUGGGAAAUGUGGUUGGUGUUAGUAGGAAAAAUAUGAUGGUCCUUAAGUUUUACUCUAAGAGAAGAUGAUUAAAGUAUGUAUUGAUGAGAUCUCGUACUCAAGUUCUCCUUUCUUUGUCUUCUUCUCACUUCUGGUGAAUAUGGCACGAUGCUAGAGGCAAAUCAUGCAGCCACAUGUGACAACGUCAUCCUUACUUCAAGCAGUUGCCCAUGUUGCCUAUAAUUUAUGCAUGCAAUGGAGUAUAGAAAAUGAUCUUCCAAAUAUACUGAAGAUUCUUGAACGUUAGACUAACCUACAAGCUAUUGUUGCUUGUAAUGAACAUCCAAGAUUUCUUGUAAAAGAGAACAUCAAUAUUUCUUUUGGGGGGACAGAGGGAGAGAGAGAAGGGAGAGAUGAAUACUUUCUUACGCUUCUGAUCCACUUUGAUAUAAACUCAUCUGUGGACCUAGGAUUACAGUCUUUAACUUUUGGGCAUGGCAGCUCCAUGUGAAAUCAAAGUUUGCAAGAGCUAGUUCAGUAGAGAGAUAUGAGUUCAACUUUAUGUUGAUCAAUGCUGCACGACGAUCGGUGUAUAAAUUUUGCUAAAUCAUCAAAACUUCUCUAAUUAAUUUCAUAUUUUUCUAGAGCAAUAUGUUUUCCAAUUUAUCCCAACUUUAUGAUAACUAAAUUCUUGUAAGAUAUUUGAAGGCCAUUUUGGUUCAUAACUUACAUAUUCAUUUGGGCAAGGGCAUCAUCACCAAGCUAUUGCCCACUCCACUUGUGGCUAAUAACAAACCAUCUAUUCCUUACACGCAAUGCAUCUUGGUGAAGCCAAAUAAAUAUAAAUUUAUAUUAUAUCAUAUAUCUUUUAAAGAUAUUAACAGG
Molecule: long non-coding RNA, 961 nt
Filed under: Phoenix dactylifera (date palm)
Lineage: Eukaryota; Viridiplantae; Streptophyta; Magnoliopsida; Arecales; Arecaceae
Description: long non-coding RNA (PDAC_LNC016656)
Source: RNAcentral